UCAUUUUAUAUUUUCAUUGCAUACAACAGGGGAUGCAUACAACAGGGGAUACAGUCCCGAACUUUUCUAUCAUUACAUAUUCAUUAUCAACAAAGUGCAACUUCAGACAAUAUGGGCCUCCGAGACUUCUUAACUCGGUCUUGAUCCUCAGGAGCAUCAAUCCUCUUCGACAAUGAACUGAAUAAAGACCGAAAUAUAUAAGUUUUGAACCUUGAUAUCAAGCUCUUCAUUGCGCUGACGCUUCUGUGAUCCCCCUCAACAUGGAGAUGCAAAAUAGGAGAACCAGAUUCUAAACAAACAACUCCUUUUACGUUUUCACUUCUUGCCUCGCGCUGCUCUUCUGUAACAUGCAGGAAAAAUAGAAUGGACCGAUGGGAUCUACUCCCGUCAUAAACUCAGAUCCCGCUCAGUGCACAAACGUCUCAUCAACUCAUAAGCGGAGGGCACAUCAUGCUAGGGAUGACCUUUCCAGUUUCUCUCCAUUAUCCUUCUUGCCAGGGAAACUUGCUUCCCAACUGCAGAGACGAACGCUUUGCCCUUCCCUCCAGCACCUCUCUCUGUGGCAGACAUAUUCGCUCGGAUCGCGCGGGAAGUUGAACAGAAUAACAUGGUCCACUCCAGUAAAGUCGAGUCCUCGUAACGACCUGUUAUAUGGUUGAAAAAUCAUCAGGAUCUUGCAAAUGCCUAAGGAAAGAUGAGAGUGACAUGUCUUAGGUAAAUUCAUGUGUAUCCAGUGACCCUGCUCUGCCUUUCGUUUGACCAUGUUGCAAACAGUGCCGUUAAAAUCACUAGGCGCUGUUAAGAGACUUAGACCCCACAGUGCCUCAGGCACUAGACCGAACAAUGAGAGGUGCCAAGUAAGAAGUGGGGAUUAAUCCAUCAACAAACAAAUUAUUAGGUCUUUCAUACUUAGAAUCACAAGUUAUUCGAGGUCUGCAUCAUAGCACAAAUUGCACUGGUNNNNNNNNNNNNNNNNNNNNNNNNNNNNNNNNNNNNNNNNNNNNNNNNNNNNNNNNNNNNNNNNNNNNNNNNNNNNNNNNNNNNNNNNNNNNNNNNNNNNUCCACCGGCAAACACCUAAUAAUCCAAUUGUGGCUUGGGCGAGGGUUGCCCUCGCCCAAGCGACCCUUGCCGGGUCGCGGUUGGGCGAGGGCUGCCCUCGCCAGAGCUCCUCCUAGCCUGGCCGGGCCUCACUUGUGGAGGGAGAGGCCAGCCGGCUGGCUGUGGCCGGUGACUGGCCGUUGCCAGUGGCCGGUGGCCGGCCACUGGAAAAGGGAAAAAAAAAAGAAAAUAAUAAUAAUAAAAAAUAAAAAUAAAAAUCAAAAAAUAUUAAAAUAUUAUUAAAAAUUGUCCACAUCAAACACCGGCGGUCCUACAUGGCACCGCCGGUGUCCAUGUCAGCAUUUUCCGGCCAAAAUUGGCCAAAUGGACUAAAUUGGCAAUAAGUGAAAAGGUUUAUGACUCAAUUGACAAAGUUAAAAGGUUUAGGACUGAAUUGGCAAAAGUGCAAUAAGUUUAUGACUUUUUGGACAAUUUUCCCGUUUUAAGUACCUCACUUAGGGCAAAAGCAUUUUUUGUUUUCCAAAUUAGAGCAAACUCUGCGAGGGUGAUCCUUCUGGAGUUUCGGGCUGGAUCGACUCUAGUUAGGUUUCAGACCUUUAGGCGAUGCUCAUAUCAAAUCGUGUUUAUAAAUUCUUCCAAGGAAGAAAAAUUUUAUGGUUGAAACGUGCAAAUACUAAGCAAGUCUAAUGGUUAAAAUGCCCCUUAUGCUGUAAAACCACAGAGACUAAGGACGUUAGCAGAAUAAUAACUUACCGAAGCUAAUCAUUUAACAAAUAUUAAACACCUAUUGAAAAUGAAUCUCAAUGCAAAACCAACCCUUCAUGUAAAUUUUAGAUUACAUGCCUUAAACUAAGAUUAACUUGUAAAAUGUCAUGCACAAUUUCCAAAAGAAUAAUUACCAAAAAGGUCAUUAACCUAUUGGACAUAUGUCAUUACAAUCAAUAACCUUUCAAUUUGAUCACAUUUAAUCAUAAACAUUUUAAGAAUUUGUCAAUAUAGUCAUUUCAGCCAAUUUUAGGCGAAAAUAAUUAAUGGGGAUACUAGCCAUCUUACAUGGCAUAGUGCUAAUAUAAAUAUUUUUUUAUAAUUUAAAAAAAAGUGAAUUUUUUUUUUUUUUCAUAAUUUUCGCCACACCCCUCUAGCCAACGAGGGCUCACAGGCCUUCGUCUAGUGGCCGUUGCUGGCCACGAUGAAAAAACAGAACAGAAAAUUUAUACAUCGGCAGGAUGGUUAGUGUUUAUUUCCACCGGACAAUGACGCCAUCCCGUUUUCUCGCGACUGCAGGUCAGCUCGCCGCUCGCCGCCGACGACCUCGAAGAGCAGCAGUCGGCGAUUUUCGUUGACGGAUCCAGUCAUCGUUCAAAGUCGGCCUCGAUGGAGCUUGAUAUCUCCGGAUUCGAUACGCCUUCUCCAAGAAGGUGACGGUCGCAGUGCACCACCAUCGUCACCGGCUGCGCAACGGAGUCAGCUCUCUCUGGCUUUUUCAUCUGGCUGAGUUCUCCACCAGCAUUGACAGGGCUCUCGCGAAUGAUCCGGUCGAGCUAGAGUUCACUCUCUCUCUCUCUUCCUCCGGAGCGGCUCCCGAAAAGCUCCGUCACCACCUCUCCAUUUCUGUCCUUCACCAUCGACGACUCCAGCUCGCCAGUAGGAUCUUCGCACGAUACCUCGGAGGCGAAGAAGAAUUCAGAAGCGGUUUCAUGUUCAUCUUUGCUUUUCACUGGAAUCAACAGACCCUCGGACUUGGUGAGUCGGGGACCGAUGAAGCUCAAUUCGGCACAUUGAAACUCGGAUCCUCACCGUCAUCGUGGACGAUCUAGACUCUUAAUCUCUGAUAAUCUCAGGUUCUGAUCCAUCGUUUCUCGCUUCGUCGCUGAUAAUCUGUUUGCCGAAUUUUCCCCCAAGAAGCACGCGAUGCAGAGGAAGGACUAAGAAGCUGAUGACACGAGAGAGAAAGUGGAGCCGUGAAACAGAGCAGUCGCUUGCCAUCGUCCAACGCAGCUUCACCGUCGGCUUUAAUGCUCGUGGCCGGAUGCAGCGAUUGCGAGUUCAGGCGAUGACAAAAUCCAUCCGCUAACGGCCGCACUCACCCAGGUCAUUUUCGGCUACUGCAUCACAAAAUUCAACCAUCGAAUUUCAGCACUAGAGAAAAAUGCAAGGAGAGAAUCGGAUGAAUUCCAGGCGAUCGAUCCUACAGGUUUAGCUAAUGAUAGAGAGGCCCGUUGCAAGUUAGAACAGCUCCUAAGCUUGCCAUCAGGAAAUGCCGAACUCGGGCAGGUUUUUACUCUGAAAUCAAGAAAGGAGGGCCCUAAAUAUGUGCACAUUGUUCUUGCUUCUUCGUAUCAGAACGGCUCUCGCUUCUAACCUCAUGCAACUAUGGAGGCAACUUUUGUAAACUCAAGUUGGAACUAAUGCUUUCUCAAGAUAUUGCACAAAUAAGAAGUUUAUGGGCUGCAUUUUAGAUUAGAUCAAAGUACAUGGGCUAUGUAUGUUACUAUCCCUAUUAAGAGAUGUGAUUGAUUGAUAAAAAAAAAAAUACAUUUUUUUCUGGCCACAUCAUGUAAACAGACCGGCUUGGCUAGACCUAGAAGAUGUAGAAUACAAAAAUUGAGAGUUUGGCCCGAGGGCUUCUAAGAUGGUGCAGGAGAUGAAUGACACCAGGAAAGGCCCUCAAAGAAUGGAAUGACACUUUCAUUCUAGUCGGAUGGUCUUUUCCAUUCUUACAACUGCAACAUCGUAAGAGAAACUAUAUGGAGGUCGGUACAAAUUACAAGUUUUGUCUGUUGCAACAGUUUAAGAUAAGUUACUAUGCUGAUGUCAUUGACAUUCUCACGGUAUGAAGUCUAGAGCCAAACUUAUACGUGAAAAAGAAAAAUAAUAACUACAGGUAGAUUACUCCAGGAUCAGUCAAAUUACAAUGCUGGAGUCAUAUUACCAGGUACAAGAACUAUAAGGUAUGACCUUUAAGGAAAAUUAUAAUACAAGGAGUAACAUCUCUUAAGACGGAGUCAUUUACAUUUAGAGGAAGUAAUUUAAUUUACCUUUGAGUAAUUUAGCCUGAAAGUAAAGUUGGCUAUGCAGUAUAAAGUUCGUAAAUUAUAUUUUGUGCUCGUAAAUUAGCUUCUUAUAUCAUAACACUCAGUCACUUGCUAUAGCAGGUCAUUUUAUAUAUUCAAUGCAUACAGCAGGGGAUAAGGUCCCGAACUUUCCUAUCAUGGCAUAUUCAUUAUCAACAAAGUGCAAUUUCAGGCAAUACGGGCCUCCGAGACUUCUUAACUCGGUCUCGAUCCUCAGGGGCAUCAAUCCUCCUUGACAAUGAACUGAAUAAAGACUGAAAUAUAUAAGUUGUGAACCUUGAUAUCAAGCUCUUCAUUGCAUUGAUGCUUCUGUUCCCCCUCAA
Molecule: long non-coding RNA, 4457 nt
Filed under: Eucalyptus grandis
Lineage: Eukaryota; Viridiplantae; Streptophyta; Magnoliopsida; Myrtales; Myrtaceae
Description: long non-coding RNA (EGRA_LNC000925)
Source: RNAcentral